RNAcentral lists this long non-coding RNA (1245 nucleotides) under Pan troglodytes (chimpanzee). Its description in RNAcentral is "long non-coding RNA NONPTRT014582". Lineage: Eukaryota; Metazoa; Chordata; Mammalia; Primates; Hominidae. The record is from RNAcentral.
GGGUGGCUCUCUGCAGUACCUGAAGCUGCGGGAGCGAAUGCAGAUACAGAAGGAGAUGGAGCGGCUGCGCUUCCUACUGUCGGAUCAGUCACUGCUGCUGCUUCCUGAGUACCAUCAGCGAGUAGAGGUGCUCCGAACCCUGGGUUACGUGGACGAGGCGGGCACUGUGAAGCUGGCAGGGCGGGUGGCUUGUGCCAUGAGCAGCCAUGAGUUGCUCCUCACUGAGCUCAUGUUUGACAAUGCACUGAGCACCCUGCGGCCUGAGGAUAUUGUUGCCUUGCUCUCUGGCCUGGUCUGCCAGAGCCCUGGGGACGCUGGGGAUCAGCUCCCAAACACCCUCAAGCAGGUAGGGGACACCACCCCUUUCUCCCUGCCAGGGCUGUGGCAUUCCUGACCUUCACCUUCAGGUAGUCCCCCAGGUGACCCCCUCCAGCCCUGUAAGUGCCCCAAGGAUGGAAAAUGGCUGCCUUCUUGAUCUGGUCCUUCCCUGUCCUGGAGCAGGAAGGCAGGCCUUAACCUCUCCUUCUUUCCUGCAGGGAAUAGAACGUGUCCGGGCUGUGGCCAAGCGGAUUGGUGAGGUCCAGGUGGCUUGUGGCCUGAACCAGACGGUGGAGGAAUUUGUGGGGGAGCUGAAUUUUGGGCUGGUUGAGGUUGUGUAUGAGUGGGCCCGGGGCAUGGUGAGUACCUGAGGUUUGGGAUUUUGCAGACGGCUGGCUGGGGAGAGUCUGCCCAGGCUGAGCGCAUCCAGUCCUCACCCUACUUUCCCCACAGCCCUUCUCCGAGUUGGCAGGGCUCUCAGGGACCCCUGAGGGCCUGGUGGUCCGCUGCAUUCAGCGCCUGGCUGAGAUGUGUCGCUCACUGCGGGGGGCAGCCCGCCUGGUAGGAGAGCCUGUGCUGGGUGCCAAGAUGGAGACAGCGGCUACCUUGCUACGGCGGGACAUCGUAUUUGCGGCCAGCCUUUACACCCAGUGAAUGCCCCAUGUAAAAAUGUGAUGAUAAAACAGCAAACCACUGUUGUGUGCUUGAGUUGUUGGGCAGGGAUGACUCAGCUAAGAAGACAGCAAGAGAACCUCUUAGAAAUAUGCUUUUAUUAUCUGCACACAGAGAUAUGACUGUCUCCCUCUAAAGCAUUACUAUUUGGGGGAGGGAGUCUUGGGGGGUGAUGGGAGGUCCUGAGUCAUAGCUUCCACAUACCAUAUGGGCAGGAAGGCGUAAGGUGCAUCUCGGUGUACAGACACGGUGACU